This 239-nucleotide unclassified non-coding RNA is filed under the name Hevea brasiliensis (rubber tree). Lineage: Eukaryota; Viridiplantae; Streptophyta; Magnoliopsida; Malpighiales; Euphorbiaceae. The record is from RNAcentral.
AGGGAGGGGGAUGCUAUCCAAAUGGCGGACAAGGGGCUAGGAACCAUGAUGUGAACUCUCCGGCUCAUAACCGGGCGAACUCUCCCAGCUCAAAUGAUUCGUCGAUGGACAUGCAUUCGGAUAGCCCACCUCAUGAAUCUUAAGGGACAGUUGUAUCGACCCGAUCAGUCCUGUUUCUACUGCAAGUUUGGGCCAAGGGGAUGCUGAGAAAGAGUGUUUCUAUGGUUGUAUGAAGAGUU